This 475-nucleotide ribosomal RNA is filed under the name uncultured bacterium. RNAcentral describes it as "SSU rRNA". It matches the Rfam family "Bacterial small subunit ribosomal RNA", at positions 26 to 518 of the family's 1533-position model. The record is from RNAcentral.
AGGACGAACGCUGGCGGCGUGCUUAACACAUGCAAGUCGAGCGGAAAGGCCCUUCGGGGUACUCGAGCGGCGAACGGGUGAGUAACACGUGAGCAACCUGCCCCUGGCUCUGGGAUAGCCUCCGGAAACGGGGAUUAAUACCGGAUAUUCACUGUCUCCUGCAUGGGGGGUGGUGGAAAGUUUUUCGGCUAGGGUGGGGCUCGCGGCCUAUCAGCUUGUUGGGGGGGUGACGGCCCACCAAGGCGACGACGGGUAGCCGGCCUGAGAGGGCGACCGGCCACACUGGGACUGAGACACGGCCCAGACUCCUACGGGAGGCAGCAGUGGGGAAUAUUGCGCAAUGGGCGGAAGCCUGACGCAGCGACGCCGCGUGCGGGAUGAAGGCCUUCGGGUUGUAAACCGCUUUCACCAGGGACGAAGCGGAAGUGACGGUACCGUGGGGAAGAGCGCCGGCUAACUACGCGCCAGCAGCCGC